UACGUAGGGGGCGAGCGUUGUCCGGAUUUAUUGGGCGUAAAGAGCUCGUAGGCGGCUUGGCAAGUCGGGUGUGAAAACUCCAGGCUCAACCUGGAGACGCCACUCGAGACUGCUAUGGCUAGAGUCCGGUAGGGGACCACGGAAUUCCUGGUGUAGCGGUGAAAUGCGCAGAUAUCAGGAGGAACACCGGUGGCGAAGGCGGCACUCUGGGCCGAUACUGACACUGAGGAGCGAAAGCGUGGGGAGCGAACAGGA
Molecule: ribosomal RNA, 255 nt
Filed under: uncultured bacterium
Lineage: Bacteria
Description: partial 16S ribosomal RNA
Rfam family: Bacterial small subunit ribosomal RNA
Source: RNAcentral